RNAcentral lists this ribosomal RNA (245 nucleotides) under uncultured bacterium. Its description in RNAcentral is "partial 16S ribosomal RNA". It matches the Rfam family "Bacterial small subunit ribosomal RNA", at positions 524 to 768 of the family's 1533-position model. The record is from RNAcentral.
UACGUAGGUGGCAAGCGUUGUCCGGAAUUACUGGGUGUAAAGGGCGUGCAGGCGGGGAUGUAAGUCAGAUGUGAAAGUCCACGGCUUAACUGUGGGAAUGCAUCUGAGACUAUGUUUCUUGAGUGCUGGAGAGGGAAGCGGAAUUCCAAGUGUAGCGGUGAAAUGCGUAGAUAUUUGGAGGAACACCAGUGGCGAAGGCGGCUUUCUGGACAGUAACUGACGCUGAGGCGCGAAAGCGUGGGGAG